This 395-nucleotide ribosomal RNA is filed under the name uncultured bacterium. Its description in RNAcentral is "bacterial SSU rRNA". It matches the Rfam family "Bacterial small subunit ribosomal RNA", at positions 47 to 438 of the family's 1533-position model. The record is from RNAcentral.
CCUAACACAUGCAAGUCGAACGGUAACAGGAAGAAGCUUGCUUCUUUGCUGACGAGUGGCGGACGGGUGAGUAAUGUCUGGGAAACUGCCUGAUGGAGGGGGAUAACUACUGGAAACGGUAGCUAAUACCGCAUAACGUCGCAAGACCAAAGAGGGGGACCUUCGGGCCUCUUGCCAUCGGAUGUGCCCAGAUGGGAUUAGCUAGUAGGUGGGGUAACGGCUCACCUAGGCGACGAUCCCUAGCUGGUCUGAGAGGAUGACCAGCCACACUGGAACUGAGACACGGUCCAGACUCCUACGGGAGGCAGCAGUGGGGAAUAUUGCACAAUGGGCGCAAGCCUGAUGCAGCCAUGCCGCGUGUAUGAAGAAGGCCUUCGGGUUGUAAAGAAGUUUCA